Molecule: long non-coding RNA, 1186 nt
Organism: Onychostoma macrolepis
Lineage: Eukaryota; Metazoa; Chordata; Actinopteri; Cypriniformes; Cyprinidae
Exons: 3
Source: RefSeq, a predicted model, not a curated record
AAUGCCUGCUUUUAAACACUCUGAAAGCUGACGGUGUUGUCUUUGUUAAUCAGUGCCGCGCUCCACAUGCAUUCAGCUGAACAUAACCUGGAAUCUUUUUCUAAUUGCUUUGCUGCGUUUGCGCGAGCGGUCUGGCAUCAGGCCCAGUGCGUUGUUCGUCACGUCUCUUGUUUGCUCGUUGUAAUCACGUUACACGUGCCGUCGAGUCUUGCUGGAGCUUCACAGCGAGAGAGCGUCCUGUUUUGAUUGCGAUUCUCACAAACGCUGUUUUCUGUUUCACAUCCAGCUCGCUUAGGUUUCAUAAUGCAGGUUUUAGCCCCCGGUCAUGCUGCAAUUCUAACGUGUAAUAAAUAAUAGAGGAGACGAGGAUUGUUUGGCAGCCUGACCCCUCGCGCUGAUGAAACGCUGAUUAUUUUCCCAGGAUUUCUCCAGACGUUUCUCUUCAGAAUAUUCAACAAUUUGGGUUAAAUAUGGAGAAUUAAGUGCGCCUGUCGAGCAGCGCCGGAGGUUAAACAUCCCUCCGACUGCGGGGAAUAUUUGAUAAGUCUGAAACAUAAUCACAGGCCGUAAUAAAGAGAGGAGAGACUGCGUGACCCCGUCAUGUUCAGGCACUCAGCGUUUAAAGCGUUUUAAAGCACUUCCAAAAGGGAUGAAUUUGGAGAAAAGCAGCCAGGGCAGUGAGGGGGCCGACGCGUGCCUAAAAAUACAGCCGCAUGCCACUCACGAGAUUGGCACACUUUUGAUGAGAGCGGGUCAGAAACGAUACGCCCCCAAACCAAACAGCAUCGCCCGAGAGAGGAGGACUGUAAAACACAGAGCGUGUCAUAAAACAGUUUUUUAAGGGGAUGAAAGGCGGUUUACUCAAAGCUUGUUUUAAGGAUAAUUUCGCUGCUUCUCCAUUAGGUCAGACUGGCUUUGAACGGCUCUGGAUGUCCGUUCUCCUGAUAACAGGAGUUUAAUGUCUGACACACUGCUGGCCAUGGAGGUGAACCGCCGCUGAUAAGACUGUGUGUGUGUACUGUACACACUCUCUCACUGAAGACGAGCGGAGUGAAUCUCAGCUGUAAUGGGUCAGAUAGACGCUAUAGGGAGCUUUGCUUUGUGAUAUAAUGUUCAACGUACAUGAUUUAUAAUAAUAUAAUGCCGAUUAUCACGGAUGAUCAUGUUUCUCCGUCAGUUUGUAAAA